AAGAUACGCGAAGAACCUUACCUAGCCUUGACAUAUUAAAGAAUUCACCAGAGAUGGAGAAGUGCCUUCGGGAGCUUCAUUACA
Molecule: ribosomal RNA, 84 nt
Filed under: Flavobacteriaceae bacterium
Lineage: Bacteria; Pseudomonadati; Bacteroidota; Flavobacteriia; Flavobacteriales; Flavobacteriaceae
Description: partial 16S ribosomal RNA
Source: RNAcentral